RNAcentral lists this transfer RNA (70 nucleotides) under Loxodonta africana (African savanna elephant). It matches the Rfam family "tRNA". Rfam says of the family: Transfer RNA (tRNA) molecules are approximately 80 nucleotides in length. Their secondary structure includes four short double-helical elements and three loops (D, anti-codon, and T loops). Further hydrogen bonds mediate the characteristic L-shaped molecular structure. tRNAs have two regions of fundamental functional importance: the anti-codon, which is responsible for specific mRNA codon recognition, and the 3' end, to which the tRNAs corresponding amino acid is attached (by aminoacyl-tRNA synthetases). tRNAs cope with the degeneracy of the genetic code in two manners: having more than one tRNA (with a specific anti-codon) for a particular amino acid; and 'wobble' base-pairing, i.e. permitting non-standard base-pairing at the 3rd anti-codon position. Lineage: Eukaryota; Metazoa; Chordata; Mammalia; Proboscidea; Elephantidae. The record is from Rfam by way of RNAcentral.
GCACGGUGGUUCAGUGGUAGAAUUCUCACAUUCCAUGUGGGAGACCCAGGUUCGAUUUCUGGCCAAUGUA